UACAUAGGGGCCUAGCGUUAUCCGGAUUUACUGGGCGUAAAGAGCGUGUAGGUGGUUAAUUAAGUCAGGUGUUAAAUUUGAAAGCUUAACUUUCAUCCGCGCCUGAAACUGAUUAGCUUCGAGGGUUGGAGAGGGAAGCGGAACUCACAGUGUAGCGGUGAAAUGCGUAGAUAUUGUGAGGAACACCAAUGGCGAAGGCAGCUUCCUGGCCAACAUCUGACACUAAAGCGCGAAAGCAUGGGGAG
Molecule: ribosomal RNA, 245 nt
Filed under: uncultured bacterium
Lineage: Bacteria
Description: partial 16S ribosomal RNA
Rfam family: Bacterial small subunit ribosomal RNA
Source: RNAcentral